UACGAAGGGGGCUAGCGUUGCUCGGAAUCACUGGGCGUAAAGGGUGCGUAGGCGGGUCUUUAAGUCAGGGGUGAAAUCCUGGAGCUCAACUCCAGAACUGCCUUUGAUACUGAGGAUCUUGAGUUCGGGAGAGGUGAGUGGAACUGCGAGUGUAGAGGUGAAAUUCGUAGAUAUUCGCAAGAACACCGAUGGCGAAGGCAGCUCUCUGGACCGUUACUGACGCUGAGGCGCGAAAGCGUGGGGAGCAAACAGG
This 253-nucleotide ribosomal RNA is filed under the name uncultured bacterium. RNAcentral's name for it is "partial 16S ribosomal RNA". It matches the Rfam family "Bacterial small subunit ribosomal RNA", at positions 524 to 776 of the family's 1533-position model. The record is from RNAcentral.